Long non-coding RNA from Pipra filicauda (Wire-tailed manakin), 329 nucleotides. RefSeq lists it as uncharacterized. The transcript is spliced from 3 exons. The record is from RefSeq and is a predicted model, not a curated record. Lineage: Eukaryota; Metazoa; Chordata; Aves; Passeriformes; Pipridae.
AGAGUGUCAUGAGAUCGCUGCUGUCAAGCUGUAAUUCAGCACUGUGAAAAGGAUUUCCAUUGAUGGCAUUGGAGUAGCUGUCAUCUUGACUAAGAUUAAGUAUCUCACCAUGGAAUGACUCGUAUUUACUUUUAAUUUGAUGUACUGGAAGUAGUCCUAUUGACUUAAAUGGAACUAUGCACAUAAAUAAAGAUUAAGUUUUCAGGUUUCAUACCAGCUUAAUGGAAGAACCACCAGUCGUAAGCACAGUAUUAACUCCAGUUCCAGAGAAUUCCGAGAUGACAUGAGAUAGUAUGAAUGAUUAACUAGGAAAAAAUAAACAAAUUAAA